CCCUUAGAUGUUCUGGGCUGCACACGUGCUACACUGGCAGGUUCAGCGAGCUUCAUGCCCUGAUCUGAAAGGAAUGGGAAAUCUUUUCAAAACCUGCCGUGCUUGGGAUAGAUGUUUGCAAUUAUUCAUCUUCAACGAGGAUUGCCUUGUAAGCGCACGUCAUCAACGUGCAUUGAAUACGACCCUGUAUUCUGUACACACCGCCCGUCGCUCCUACCGAUUGAAGUUUUCGGUGAGUUGACAGGAGGAUUUUUUUGAAACUGGUUCGCCAGUGGAUUUUAGAUCCAAAUGCCAACGAAUCGAUGGCUUUAGAGGAAGGAGAAGUCGUAACA
Molecule: ribosomal RNA, 332 nt
Filed under: uncultured eukaryote
Lineage: Eukaryota
Description: partial 18S ribosomal RNA
Rfam family: Eukaryotic small subunit ribosomal RNA
Source: RNAcentral